CUCCCGAGUCCGGGCGUGGCUUCCCUGGGCGAUUCUGCGUCCGUCUCCAUCUCGCGACGACUGGCGCCGCCACCUCCGCCCCCCGAGUCGAUGCGGCGCCCCACCUGCGCCUACGCCUCCUGAGCCGCCCCACCCCUCCGUCCUCCCCCAUCCGGGCCGCGCCGCCCUCCAUCUCCUCCACGGCAUCUGCCUCGCCGUCCAGCUUCUGUCGUCUGCCUCGCCGUCCAGCCGCGCGUCGUCACCGCCCCUCGCCAGCCGCAGCGUCAUCACCGCCCCUCGUCCAACUUUCCUCGAAGGCGUAUCGUGAAGAACUUAGGCCGGCAACAAGCAACUGACAUUGCUCGAGUCUAUCUUCAGCUGAAGAAGAGCAAGUGAAUUAGAGGAGCCACUGAUUGCACUACUUGGUACGUACAUACGCCGUGCAGCCACGCAUCGUCACCGCCCCUCGCCAGCCACAGCGUCGUCACCGCCCCUUGUCCAAGUGAAUUAGAGGAGUGAUAAUUCAGUUAGCCAGCACAUUGAUUUGACGAUGUCCGAUCUGCAUUGCUGCUGACAUCUUCAGGGUGUAAAAGUUUUGAGCUGGAGUCAAAUUCUGUAUUGUCGUUUAACUUGAUGCUUAUAAGUUGGAAGUGGUGCACCACCGUGCAAUCUAUUGUGCUAAACCUCAAGAUAUGAUGCCGCUCGGUUGGAUGCAAGUGCCAUUUAGCAGCAAAAAAGACAUUUUGAAUCUCACGACUUGAGGUUGGCAUUUGUACUGAAGACAUGGGGUUGGCAUUUGUAUUUAUAAAUUUGAACGUAUGGAUGAUCAUGCAAUGCAUUGUCAUGCAUAUCCAUUUUGUUAAUUAUUAAUGAUUUUUCCUUAA
Panicum virgatum (switchgrass) is the source of this 863-nucleotide long non-coding RNA. RefSeq lists it as uncharacterized. The record is from RefSeq and is a predicted model, not a curated record. The transcript has 4 exons. Lineage: Eukaryota; Viridiplantae; Streptophyta; Magnoliopsida; Poales; Poaceae.